UUGACCUCAAAUCAGGUAGGAUUACCCGCUGAACUUAAGCAUAUCAAUAAGCGGAGGAAAAGAAACCAACAGGGAUUACCUUAGUAACGGCGAGUGAAGCGGUAAAAGCUCAAAUUUGAAAUCUAGCACUUUCAGUGUUCGAGUUGUAAUUUGAAGAAGGUAUCUUUGGAGUUGGCCCCCGUCUAUGUUCCUUGGAACAGGACGUCACAGAGGGUGAGAAUCCCGUGCGAUGGGGAGACCAAUUCUAUGUAAAGUUCCUUCGAAGAGUCGAGUUGUUUGGGAAUGCAGCUCUAAGUGGGUGGUAAAUUCCAUCUAAAGCUAAAUAUUGGCGAGAGACCGAUAGCGAACAAGUACAGUGAUGGAAAGAUGAAAAGAACUUUGAAAAGAGAGUGAAAAAGUACGUGAAAUUGUUGAAAGGGAAGGGCUUUUGAUCAGACUUGGUGUUUAGUACUCUCUACUCCUUGUGGGUGGAGCUCUUGCUUUAUACUGGGCCAGCAUCGGUUUGGAUGGUAGGAUAAUAGCAUUGGAAUGUGGCUUCAUUCGUGAAGUGUUAUAGCCCUUGUUGAUACUACCUAUCUAGACCGAGGACUGCGUCUUUUGACUAGGAUGCUGGCGUAAUGAUUAAAAGCCGC
This 632-nucleotide ribosomal RNA is filed under the name Nakazawaea holstii. Its description in RNAcentral is "LSU rRNA". It matches the Rfam family "Eukaryotic large subunit ribosomal RNA", at positions 1 to 648 of the family's 3401-position model. Lineage: Eukaryota; Fungi; Ascomycota; Pichiomycetes; Alaninales; Pachysolenaceae. The record is from RNAcentral.